This 769-nucleotide small RNA is filed under the name Pongo abelii (Sumatran orangutan). RNAcentral describes it as "retained intron". The record is from RNAcentral. Lineage: Eukaryota; Metazoa; Chordata; Mammalia; Primates; Hominidae.
UUCAAAAACUUACACCUUUUUAUACAGAUAUUUAUAUUGAAUAUAUAAAGCAAUGCUUUGUUAGUUUGCUUUUUGAGUUAUUAUUAUGUUUGUUACUUGUAAGUUUGUAGCAGCUCUUCCUGUUUUCAAACAGAUGAGCUUUUAAACAGAUAACCUAGCAUUUUUGAAUUUUUUGUGGAAUAAUAGAUGACUCACAGUAAAGUUACAACAUAUUUUCUUUUAAGUAAAACCUCAAGGAAUAAUGAUACUUGCUUUGCCAUUCAAGGGCCUUUUUUUAUCUGUUUACUUUGUGGAUCUUACACAUACACCAGAUACCUGUUUUGGUGAAAUAAGGUGGUUAUAAUUAUUUACUUAUUGUCAGCAAUUGCUUUGUGGCCUAUUCAUUUGACAAUAGGUGAUUUCAAAUCGGAGAAGUCCAACGGGGAGCUAAGCGAAUCUCCUGGAGCUGGAAAAGGAGCAUCUGGCUCAACUCGAAUCAUCACCAGAUUGCGGAAUCCAGAUAGCAAACUUAGUCAGCUGAAGAGCCAGCAGGUGGCAGCCGCUGCACAUGAAGCAAAUAAAUUAUUUAAGGAGGGCAAAGAGGUACUGGUAGUUAACUCUCAAGGAGAAAUUUCACGGUUGAGCACCAAAAAGGAAGUGAUCAUGAAAGGAAAUAUCAACAAUUAUUUUAAAUUGGGUCAAGAAGGGAAGUAUCGCGUCUACCACAAUCAAUACUCCACCAAUUCAUUUGCUUUGAAUAAGCACCAGCACAGAGAAGAUCAUGAUAAGA